AUGAUGAACUUUGUGCGUGCCCAGAUCAAGAAAGCAGCUGAUGAGACCGAGACUAUUCUGGAAACAACCCCGGCUGGCAAAAGCGAUGGGGAAGGUGCACUUCGAGCAUUCAUUAAGCGCCAGGGCCAAAAGUUAAGGCGGCUACCAAACCUUUUCGGUUGUCGUGACCCCGAGUACGUAUCACCAGAACGGUCUAGGUCGGCGACACCAUCAGAUCCCACUUCGGGCCAGGGCCAUGUUGAUCCUUUGGAGGAUGAGGAUGUGGGUGUGGUCACCCAAGAGGUUGCUGAUGAUAUGACCUUGGGGACGUACCAGGUUCGGUCUGCAUACAAGUUAAAGCCUAGGAAGGGAAUCAACAAGUACACACCUGAAGACUUCACCCAAAGAGGCAAAAGGACGGUCGGCACCUCGCGGAUGGCGGCUUUGGAUGACUAUUUGGAUGACGAUGUGGAUGACGUGGAGGAACCGCAGCCGGAGCCAGAGCAGGUUGCUCUUCCUAGGAAGGCGAAGAAGAGAAGCAGCAAGAGGGGGGAGGAGCGAAAAAGCGCUCAAGGAACUAGUCAUCGUCCUCUAUUUGUAAUGGUAGCUCUAUGUUGGUGGUAG
Molecule: ribosomal RNA, 603 nt
Filed under: Triticum aestivum (bread wheat)
Lineage: Eukaryota; Viridiplantae; Streptophyta; Magnoliopsida; Poales; Poaceae
Description: partial small subunit ribosomal RNA
Source: RNAcentral